This 301-nucleotide ribosomal RNA is filed under the name uncultured bacterium. RNAcentral's name for it is "partial 16S ribosomal RNA". It matches the Rfam family "Bacterial small subunit ribosomal RNA", at positions 509 to 808 of the family's 1533-position model. The record is from RNAcentral.
CAGUCGCCGCGGUAAUACGAAGGGGGCUAGCGUUGUUCGGAAUUACUGGGCGUAAAGCGCACGUAGGCGGAUAUUUAAGUCAGGGGUGAAAUCCCGCAGCUCAACUGCGGAACUGCCUUUGAUACUGGGUAUCUUGAGUAUGGAAGAGGUUAGUGGAAUUGCGAGUGUAGAGGUGAAAUUCGUAGAUAUUCGCAGGAACACCAGUGGCGAAGGCGGCUAACUGGUCCAUAACUGACGCUGAGGUGCGAAAGCGUGGGGAGCAAACAGGAUUAGAUACCCCCAGUAGUCCCUGUCUCUUAUA